This 486-nucleotide ribosomal RNA is filed under the name uncultured Fusobacterium sp. RNAcentral describes it as "partial 16S ribosomal RNA". Lineage: Bacteria; Fusobacteriati; Fusobacteriota; Fusobacteriia; Fusobacteriales; Fusobacteriaceae. The record is from RNAcentral.
CACGUAUUUAGCCGUCACUUCUUCUGUUGGUACCGUCAUUUUUUUCUUCCCAACUGAAAGCACUUUACAUUCCGAAAAACGUCAUCGUGCACACAGAAUUGCUGGAUCAGACUCUUGGUCCAUUGUCCAAUAUUCCCCACUGCUGCCUCCCGUAGGAGUAAGGGCCGUGUCUCAGUCCCCUUGUGGCCGUUCACCCUCUCAGGCCGGCUACCCAUCAUCGCCUUGGUGAGCCGUUACCUCUCCAACUAGCUAAUGGGACGCAAAGCUCUCUCACAGCGCGUAUAGCUUUCAUAAUUCUAAGAUGCCUUAAAAUCAUAAUAUCAGGUAUUAGCAUUCGUUUCCAAAUGUUGUCCCUAGCUGUGAGGCAAGUUCUUUACGCGUUACUCACCCGUCCGCCACCCAAAUCUAAGUUAAAAACCCAAUUCAAGUUGACUUGCAUGUGUUAAGCAUUCUGUCAGCGUUCAUCCUGAGCCAGGAUCAAACUCU